CCUACGGGGGGCAGCAGUGAGGAAUAUUGGUCAAUGGGCGCGAGCCUGAACCAGCCAAGUCGCGUGAGGGAUGAAGGUUCUAUGGAUCGUAAACCUCUUUUAUAAGGGAAUAAAGUGUGGGACGUGUCCUAUUUUGUAUGUACCUUAUGAAUAAGGAUCGGCUAACUCCGUGCCAGCAGCCGCGGUAAUACGGAGGAUCCGAGCGUUAUCCGGAUUUAUUGGGUUUAAAGGGUGCGUAGGCGGCCUUUUAAGUCAGCGGUGAAAGUCUGUGGCUCAACCAUAGAAUUGCCGUUGAAACUGGAGGGCUUGAGUAUGUUUGAGGCAGGCGGAAUGCGUGGUGUAGCGGUGAAAUGCAUAGAUAUCACGCAGAACCCCGAUUGCGAAGGCAGCAUACCGGCGCCCGACUGACGCUGAGGCACGAAAGUGCGGGUAUCGAACAGGAUUAGAUACCCGAGUAGUC
This 460-nucleotide ribosomal RNA is filed under the name uncultured bacterium. Its description in RNAcentral is "partial 16S ribosomal RNA". It matches the Rfam family "Bacterial small subunit ribosomal RNA", at positions 338 to 795 of the family's 1533-position model. The record is from RNAcentral.